Molecule: ribosomal RNA, 274 nt
Filed under: uncultured bacterium
Lineage: Bacteria
Description: partial 16S ribosomal RNA
Rfam family: Bacterial small subunit ribosomal RNA
Source: RNAcentral
AUACGGAGGGUGCAAGCGUUAAUCGGAAUCACUGGGCGUAAAGCGCGCGCAGGCGGCUAUUUAAGUUGGAUGUGAAAGCCUACGGCUCAACCGUAGAACUGCAUCCAAAACUAUUUAGCUAGAGUGUGGGAGAGGAAGAUGGAAUUAGUUGUGUAGGGGUAAAAUCCGUAGAGAUAACUAGGAAUACCAAAAGCGAAGGCAAUCUUCUGGAACACUACUGACGCUGAGGCGCGAAAGCGUGGGGAGCAAACAGGAUUAGAUACCCUAGUAGUCC